RNAcentral lists this ribosomal RNA (472 nucleotides) under Staphylococcus aureus. RNAcentral's name for it is "partial 23S ribosomal RNA". It matches the Rfam family "Bacterial large subunit ribosomal RNA", at positions 199 to 721 of the family's 2925-position model. Lineage: Bacteria; Bacillati; Bacillota; Bacilli; Caryophanales; Staphylococcaceae. The record is from RNAcentral.
CAUCUCAGUACCCUUAGGAAAAGAAAUCAAUUGAGAUUCCCUCAGUAGCGGCGAGCGAACGGGGAUCAGCCCAUUAAGUUAUGUGUGUUUUAGUGGAACGCUCUGGGAAGUGCGAACGUAGAGGGUGAUAUUCCCGUACACGAAAGGGCACACAUAAUGAUGACGAGUAGGGCGAGGCACGUGAAACCUUGUCUGAAUAUGGGGGGACCAUCCUCCAAGGCUAAAUACUCCUGACUGACCGAUAGUGAACCAGUACCGUGAGGGAAAGGCGAAAAGAACCCCUGUGAGGGGAGUGAAAUAGAUCCUGAAACCGCAUGCAUACAAGCAGUGGGAGGCCCUUGGUGGUGUGAGUGCGUAACUUGUGUAUAGUGGGGCAGCGACUUAUAUUCAGUAGGGCGGUUAAGCGGAUAGGGGGGACGUGGAGAAAUCGAGUCUUAAUAGGGCGUUUAGUGGCUGGGUAUAGACACGGAAC